GACGAACGCUGGCGGCGUGCCUAACACAUGCAAGUCGAGCGGGGUCCAUCCGGUAGCAAUACCGGGGAAGACCUAGCGGCGAACGGGUGAGUAACACGUGAGAAACCUGCCCCGAAGUCUGGGAUAACCCGAGGAAACUCGAGCUAAUACCGGAUGUCUUCUUCUGAUCGCAUGGUCGGAUGAAGAAAGAUUUAUCGCUUCGGGAGGGUCUCGCGGCCUAUCAGCUAGUUGGCGGGGUAACGGCCCACCAAGGCGUCGACGGGUAGCUGGUCUGAGAGGACGAUCAGCCACACUGGGACUGAGACACGGCCCAGACUCCUACGGGAGGCAGCAGUGGGGAAUAUUGCGCAAUGGCGAAAGCCUGACGCAGCAACGCCGCGUGCGGGAUGAAGGCCUCGGUUGUAAACCGCUUUCAGUGGGACGAAGUU
RNAcentral lists this ribosomal RNA (428 nucleotides) under uncultured bacterium. RNAcentral's name for it is "bacterial SSU rRNA". It matches the Rfam family "Bacterial small subunit ribosomal RNA", at positions 28 to 452 of the family's 1533-position model. The record is from RNAcentral.